AGCCAACACCUGUAAGCCGCUCCUGCUGUCACAUACAGAAGGCAAAGACAUUUUAAUUUUUGGUGUCUGAAAGCUGAAGCCAGUGACAACUUUCAGCCGGUGGAAGCCUUCCCCAGCACAUGACUUCAGUGACCUUAACACACCAGUUUUCUGAGAGGACGUCCACCUUCCAUGCACUAUGAUCACCUAGAAGAGACUGUUUCUUCAUAGAUUAUUGGGAAGAUUUUCAGGUGUGUCCUCAAAGGCAGACAAACAUAAUGACCUGAAAAAAGAGGGCAAGAAAUCAGAUGAGAUUUCUUAGCUGCUUUGAGAGCAGUCAGCUAAGCAGAUCUUCGGAAGGGCUAUGGGUCUUCCUUAGUGUUGAAGCAUAAAGUUAAAACUGUAAUCCUGGGACUGGCAGAGGGGACGGUAGAAAAAGAGAAGCCAGCUCUCAGUGAGAGAUAUGCUGUUACUUUUGAAGCAUAUUAAUCUUGUAUCCUGUGGUCUUGCUUUACAGCAAAUAGGGCAAUCAUCAUCACCACCAUUAAUACGGGAUGCACUUUCUUUCAGGCAGAUGCCACCAUGGGCUGGAUUAGUGACAAUGCCUGAAUCUGUCGUUUUUUGCGGUUUACUAAUAAUUUUUAAAACUACAUGAUUGACUCUGAUAUAUGGGGGAGUGUUAGACAUAAACACUGCACUGAGCCCAGGAUUGCCUUCACACUGCGAGCAGAGAUGUGGGAAGAGAGAGAGAGAGAUAAACCCUUGGUAUAUGAAUCCUCUCUGAAUUACAGCGCCUGCAGCCCUGUCAGGGCCUAACAGAAUGUGAACCAUGCCCUAGUCUCUGAGUCUGCAAUGUCCCAUCCCAAACGCUGCAGAUGAGUUUAAUCACAGAGAGGCCUGGAGCGCUUUCCACAUUGGAAACAACCAGUCUCUGUGACUGAAACGAAAGUGGAAAAUUCCCAGCACAGUUAAGCUCAGAGACCUUCCUCCACCCCAACCGCCCAGAAAGCAAGGGUUAUUCUAACCACACAUCUGGGCCACCACACUUAGAGCAACUUCGGGGAGGCUGCCGAGCUGCUUCGCUGUUGUAUAAGAGAAGCCACGCUUUAAGAGAAUGGCUAGCAGGCAGAAGGGGAAGCCCGACAGCUGUGUCUGCAGGAGCAAUGAGGACCAAGCCAUGCCGCAGUCCCUGCUAAAGCCUUGUUGGAGGGGUCAAAGGUGCCGGCACAGCAGCUUCAGUGGUGCAGAAGCACACAGCAUGCGACCACAUGCACAGAGCAGUGCACACUAAACACACGUACUCACAGAUAUGCACCAGGGCAGUCUGAGCCCCCUACCCCUGUCCCAUACACCCCUACACACGCACACACACUGCCCUGUGCACCCUUCUGCUCCCCAGGAGAGCAGUCUCCCAGGAAGGAGAGCAGUCUCUUUGGCCCAGUUGUGCCUUGCAAAGCAGGGGGAGACCUCUUACUAUUAUUUUUAAAUCACUUUGUGAAAAUAGAGGAUUUGAGGUUUGCAGUUUGGCUGUAAUUCAAUGCCGGGACAGGCACCUUUCAUUACCUGCCUGUUUCCUUCACCCCUGGAGGUGCUUUCCCAGGGCCAGAGAGCAAAUACCUACCACAGCUGGGGGGCAGAU
Anas platyrhynchos (mallard) is the source of this 1618-nucleotide non-coding RNA. Lineage: Eukaryota; Metazoa; Chordata; Aves; Anseriformes; Anatidae. The record is from RefSeq and is a predicted model, not a curated record.